Molecule: ribosomal RNA, 255 nt
Filed under: uncultured bacterium
Lineage: Bacteria
Description: partial 16S ribosomal RNA
Rfam family: Bacterial small subunit ribosomal RNA
Source: RNAcentral
UACGAAGGGGGCUAGCGUUGUUCGGAAUUACUGGGCGUAAAGCGCGUGUAGGCGGGUCUUUUAAGUCAGGGGUGAAAUGCCAGGGCUCAACCUUGGAACUGCCUUUGAUACUGGAGACCUUGAGUCCGGGAGAGGUGAGUGGAAUUGCGAGUGUAGAGGUGAAAUUCGUAGAUAUUCGCAAGAACACCAGUGGCGAAAGGCGGCUCACUGGCCCGAUACUGACGCUGAGGCACGAAAGCGUGGGGAGCAAACAGG